GGCGAAAGCCUGAUGCAGCAACGCCGCGUGAGCGAUGAAGGCCUUCGGGUCGUAAAGCUCUGUCCUCAAGGAAGAUAAUGACGGUACUUGAGGAGGAAGCCCCGGCUAACUACGUGCCAGCAGCCGCGGUAAUACGUAGGGGGCUAGCGUUAUCCGGAAUUACUGGGCGUAAAGGGUGCGUAGGCGGUCUUUCAAGCCAGAAGUGAAAGGCUACGGCUCAACCGUAGUAAGCUUUUGGAACUGUAGGACUUGAGUGCAGGAGAGGAGAGUGGAAUUCCUAGUGUAGCGGUGAAAUGCGUAGAUAUUAGGAGGAACACCAGUAGCGAAGGCGGCUCUCUGGACUGUAACUGACGCUGAGGCACGAAAGCGUGGGGAGCAAACAGGAUUAGAUACCCUGGUAGUCCAA
This 406-nucleotide ribosomal RNA is filed under the name Paraclostridium sordellii. Its description in RNAcentral is "bacterial SSU rRNA". It matches the Rfam family "Bacterial small subunit ribosomal RNA", at positions 374 to 798 of the family's 1533-position model. The record is from RNAcentral. Lineage: Bacteria; Bacillati; Bacillota; Clostridia; Peptostreptococcales; Peptostreptococcaceae.